This 462-nucleotide ribosomal RNA is filed under the name uncultured bacterium. RNAcentral describes it as "bacterial SSU rRNA". It matches the Rfam family "Bacterial small subunit ribosomal RNA", at positions 1 to 507 of the family's 1533-position model. The record is from RNAcentral.
CAGUAGUCACGAGUUUGAUCAUGGCUCAGAACGAACGCUGGCGGCAUGCCUAACACAUGCAAGUCGAACGAGACCUUCGGGUCUAGUGGCGCACGGGUGCGUAACGCGUGGGAAUCUGCCCUUGGGUUCGGAAUAACUUCGGGAAACUGAAGCUAAUACCGGAUGAUGACGUAAGUCCAAAGAUUUAUCGCCCAAGGAUGAGCCCGCGUAGGAUUAGCUAGUUGGUGAGGUAAAGGCUCACCAAGGCGACGAUCCUUAGCUGGUCUGAGAGGAUGAUCAGCCACACUGGGACUGAGACACGGCCCAGACUCCUACGGGAGGCAGCAGUGGGGAAUAUUGGACAAUGGGCGAAAGCCUGAUCCAGCAAUGCCGCGUGAAUGAUGAAGGCCUUAGGGUUGUAAAGCUCUUUUACCCGGGAUGAUAAUGACAGUACCGGGAGAAUAAGCUCCGGCUAACUCCGUG